GCCGCGGUGGCGGAAUUGGCAGACGCGCUGGCCUCAGGAGCCAGUGGGCGCAAGCCCAUGCGGGUUCAAAUCCCGCCCGCGGCACCA
This 87-nucleotide transfer RNA is filed under the name bacterium. RNAcentral describes it as "tRNA-Leu". It matches the Rfam family "tRNA". Rfam says of the family: Transfer RNA (tRNA) molecules are approximately 80 nucleotides in length. Their secondary structure includes four short double-helical elements and three loops (D, anti-codon, and T loops). Further hydrogen bonds mediate the characteristic L-shaped molecular structure. tRNAs have two regions of fundamental functional importance: the anti-codon, which is responsible for specific mRNA codon recognition, and the 3' end, to which the tRNAs corresponding amino acid is attached (by aminoacyl-tRNA synthetases). tRNAs cope with the degeneracy of the genetic code in two manners: having more than one tRNA (with a specific anti-codon) for a particular amino acid; and 'wobble' base-pairing, i.e. permitting non-standard base-pairing at the 3rd anti-codon position. RNAcentral also lists the same sequence under 2 other names. The record is from RNAcentral.